UGUGGGAGCUGGCUUGCCAGCGAUGGCGUCCUGGCAUACAACAUCGGUGUUGAAUUUGCCGGCCUCAUCGCUGGCAAGCCAGCUCCCACA
RNAcentral lists this unclassified non-coding RNA (90 nucleotides) under Pseudomonas sp. B10. Lineage: Bacteria; Pseudomonadati; Pseudomonadota; Gammaproteobacteria; Pseudomonadales; Pseudomonadaceae. The record is from RNAcentral.